UACGGAGGGUGCAAGCGUUGUCCGGAAUCAUUGGGCGUAAAGCGCGUGUAGGCGGUUCGGUAAGUCCGCUGUGAAAGUCGGGGGCUCAACCCUCGGAUGCCGGUGGAUACUGUCGGACUAGAGUGCGGAAGAGGCGAGUGGAAUUCCUGGUGUAGCGGUGAAAUGCGUAGAUAUCGGGAGGAACACCAGUGGCGAAGGCGACUACCUGGCCUGUUCUUGACGCUGAGGCGCGAAAGCUAGGGGAGCAAACGGG
This 253-nucleotide ribosomal RNA is filed under the name uncultured bacterium. RNAcentral describes it as "partial 16S ribosomal RNA". It matches the Rfam family "Bacterial small subunit ribosomal RNA", at positions 524 to 776 of the family's 1533-position model. The record is from RNAcentral.